Molecule: ribosomal RNA, 342 nt
Filed under: uncultured bacterium
Lineage: Bacteria
Description: bacterial SSU rRNA
Rfam family: Bacterial small subunit ribosomal RNA
Source: RNAcentral
CUUGAGCUGUGUACAGGUGGUGCAUGGUUGUCGUCAGCUCGUGUCGUGAGAUGUUGGGUUAAGUCCCGCAACGAGCGCAACCCCUCGUUCUAUGUUGCCAGCACGUGAUGGUGGGGAACUCAUAGGAGACUGCCGGGGUCAACUCGGAGGAAGGUGGGGAUGACGUCAAAUCAUCAUGCCCUUUAUGUCUUGGGCUUCACGCAUGCUACAAUGGCUGGUACAGAGAGAGGCGAACCCGUGAGGGUGAGNGAAUCCCUUAAAGCCAGUCUCAGUUCGGAUCGUAGUCUGCAAUUCGACUACGUGAAGUCGGAGUCGCUAGUAAUCGCAGAUCAGCAACGCUGC